UGCAGUCGAGCGGUAGAGAGAAGCUUGCUUCUCUUGAGAGCGGCGGACGGGUGAGUAAUGCCUAGGAAUCUGCCUGGUAGUGGGGGAUAACGUUCGGAAACGGACGCUAAUACCGCAUACGUCCUACGGGAGAAAGCAGGGGACCUUCGGGCCUUGCGCUAUCAGAUGAGCCUAGGUCGGAUUAGCUAGUUGGUGGGGUAAUGGCUCACCAAGGCGACGAUCCGUAACUGGUCUGAGAGGAUGAUCAGUCACACUGGAACUGAGACACGGUCCAGACUCCUACGGGAGGCAGCAGUGGGGAAUAUUGGACAAUGGGCGAAAGCCUGAUCCAGCCAUGCCGCGUGUGUGAAGAAGGUCUUCGGAUUGUAAAGCACUUUAAGUUGGGAGGAAGGGUUGUAGAUUAAUACUCUGCAAUUUUGACGUUACCGACAGAAUAAGCACCGGCUAACUCUGUGCCAGCAGCCGCGGUAAUACAGAGGGUGCAAGCGUUAAUCGGAAUUACUGGGCGUAAAGCGCGCGUAGGUGGUUAGUUAAGUUGGAUGUGAAAUCCCCGGGCUCAACCUGGGAACUGCAUUCAAAACUGACUGACUAGAGUAUGGUAGAGGGUGGUGGAAUUUCCUGUGUAGCGGUGAAAUGCGUAGAUAUAGGAAGGAACACCAGUGGCGAAGGCGACCACCUGGACUGAUACUGACACUGAGGUGCGAAAGCGUGGGGAGCAAACAGGAUUAGAUACCCUGGUAGUCCACGCCGUAAACGAUGUCAACUAGCCGUUGGGAGCCUUGAGCUCUUAGUGGCGCAGCUAACGCAUUAAGUUGACCGCCUGGGGAGUACGGCCGCAAGGUUAAAACUCAAAUGAAUUGACGGGGGCCCGCACAAGCGGUGGAGCAUGUGGGUUAAUUCGAAGCACCGCGAAGAACCUUACCAGGCCUUGACAUCCAAUGAACUUUCUAGAGAUAGAUUGGUGCCUUCGGGAACUUUGAAACAGGUGCUGCAUGGCUGUCG
Molecule: ribosomal RNA, 1002 nt
Filed under: Pseudomonas fluorescens
Lineage: Bacteria; Pseudomonadati; Pseudomonadota; Gammaproteobacteria; Pseudomonadales; Pseudomonadaceae
Description: bacterial SSU rRNA
Rfam family: Bacterial small subunit ribosomal RNA
Source: RNAcentral